This is a long non-coding RNA of Astyanax mexicanus (Mexican tetra), 878 nucleotides long. RefSeq lists it as uncharacterized. The record is from RefSeq and is a predicted model, not a curated record. The transcript is spliced from 2 exons. NCBI's taxonomy places the organism in Eukaryota, Metazoa, Chordata, Actinopteri, Characiformes, Acestrorhamphidae.
GUCGGCAGUGUUCAGCUGUGUGUGAAUGAAGAAGAGUAAAUGAUGGAUCUUCAGAACUGCAGCAGUGGAGGAGGACCUCCUGUCCUAAAAUAAGGCUGCAGAUCCAGGGGUUCAUGGACAGAGGGAAUUGUGGUAAACUGAGAUGCUGGUGCUGUUGUUCUCCCACUGCACACGGUCACUCAGGUUUGUGGACGGUGGAGUGGGUGGAUGCCAGUGUUUCAGGGAGCCUCCAUGUCUAUGUUACCUUCUGGCUCUGCCUUUAGUUAGGCUGUUUUAUUCAGUUCUGCCGGAGUCAUUUGCCACACUCUGAUAAUGUUUUAAUAUUCUCAGUUUUGCAUAAAUCCAGUCAAAACUAAUUCCAUCUCUCUGCUUUCCUCCGAGUUACUGACUGCCCACCUGUCUGACCCGAUACCGAUGUUGGACCCUCAGGCUCUCGCGUCUCCUGUCCGGCCAGACUGAUGGAAGUUUCUGAAGUCAGCUCUUCUCCACCACCCACCACAGAUCAGCUGCUCAUCGUCCAUCUUACUCUCCACUACUGAUUACAUCCAAGCCAUUAGUGGCGCUAUUACACUCCUGAGUACAUAAAACCUAUGUGGAUGUAUGAAAGACUUUUUAAAAUUAAUUUAAAAGCCGUUUGACCAGUGGUAGGAUGGUCCCCCCUCAAAUGUGAGUCUUGGUCCUCCCAAGGUUUCUUCCUCCUCCUGCAGCUCUGAGGGAGUUUUUCCUUGCCUCCGUGCUCACUGGGGGUUCUGUAUUCUGUAUUUUCUAUGUGUAAUGUUUUGCCUGAUUCUUUGUCCUGUAAUCAUGUUUCUGUAAAGCUGCUUUGUGCCAACACCUGUUGUAAAAAGCGCUAUACAAAUAAAUUUGAUUUGAUUUGA